RNAcentral lists this non-coding RNA (29 nucleotides) under Mus musculus (house mouse). Lineage: Eukaryota; Metazoa; Chordata; Mammalia; Rodentia; Muridae. The record is from RNAcentral.
AGCAACUGUGUGCGUUAGGUUAGCACAGA